This 30-nucleotide non-coding RNA is filed under the name Cricetulus griseus (Chinese hamster). Lineage: Eukaryota; Metazoa; Chordata; Mammalia; Rodentia; Cricetidae. The record is from RNAcentral.
UAGACCUGAUAACUGUAACAAAAGAAAAAU